This 460-nucleotide ribosomal RNA is filed under the name uncultured Bacteroidota bacterium. RNAcentral's name for it is "bacterial SSU rRNA". It matches the Rfam family "Bacterial small subunit ribosomal RNA", at positions 31 to 478 of the family's 1533-position model. Lineage: Bacteria; Pseudomonadati; Bacteroidota. The record is from RNAcentral.
UUAGAAGGCUCCCGGCAGGCCUAUCACAUGCAAGUCGAGGGGCAGCACAAAGAUAGCUUGCUAUUUUGGUGGCGACCGGCGCACGGGUGCGUAACGCGUAUGCAAUCUACCUUAUACUGGGGUAUAGCCCGAAGAAAUUCGGAUUAAUCCCCCAUAGUACUGAUAUACCUCAUGGUAAUUCAGUUAAAGUUUCGGCGGUAUGAGAUGAGCAUGCGUCCUAUUAGCUUGAUGGUAAGGUAACGGCUUACCAUGGCUACGAUAGGUAGGGGGCCUGAGAGGGUGACCCCCCACACUGGUACUGAGACACGGACCAGACUCCUACGGGAGGCAGCAGUGAGGAAUAUUGGUCAAUGGGCGCAAGCCUGAACCAGCCAUGCCGCGUGCAGGAAGAAUGCCCUAUGGGUUGUAAACUGCUUUUAUUUAGGAAUAAACCUUUCUACGUGUAGAAAGCUGAAGGUAC